GCUGGCGGCGUGCUUAACACAUGCAAGUCGAACGAUGAAGCUGGAGCUUGCUCCAGUGGAUUAGUGGCGAACGGGUGAGUAACACGUGAGCAAUCUGCCCUUGACUCUGGGAUAACUGCGGGAAACUGUAGCUAAUACCGGAUACGACACCUUGGGGCAUCCCGAGGUGUGGAAAGAAUUUCGGUCAAGGAUGAGCUCGCGGCCUAUCAGCUAGUUGGUGAGGUGAUGGCUCACCAAGGCGACGACGGGUAGCCGGCCUGAGAGGGUGACCGGCCACACUGGAACUGAGAUACGGUCCAGACUCCUACGGGAGGCAGCAGUGGGGAAUAUUGCACAAUGGGCGCAAGCCUGAUCCAGCCAUGCCGCGUGAGUGAAGAAGGCCUUCGGGUUGUAAAGCUCUUUCAGACGGAAAGAAAUCGGUGCGUUUAAUACAUGCACUGGAUGACGGUACCGUAAGAAGAAGCACCGGCUAACUACGUG
Molecule: ribosomal RNA, 480 nt
Filed under: uncultured bacterium
Lineage: Bacteria
Description: bacterial SSU rRNA
Rfam family: Bacterial small subunit ribosomal RNA
Source: RNAcentral